RNAcentral lists this ribosomal RNA (1380 nucleotides) under uncultured bacterium. RNAcentral describes it as "bacterial SSU rRNA". It matches the Rfam family "Bacterial small subunit ribosomal RNA". The record is from RNAcentral.
AGAGUUUGAUCCUGGCUCAGGAUGAACGCUAGCGGCAGGCCUAACACAUGCAAGUCGAGGGGUAGAGGGUGCUUGCACCCUUGAGACCGGCGCACGGGUGCGUAACGCGUAUGCAACCUACCUAUUGCAGGGGAAUAGCCCAGGGAAACUUGGAUUAAUGCCCCAUAGUCCAUAUUGAGAGCAUUUGAGAUAUGGUAAAGAUUUAUCGGCAAUAGAUGGGCAUGCGUCCCAUUAGCUAGUUGGUAUGGUAACGGCAUACCAAGGCUACGAUGGGUAGGGGCCCUGAGAGGGGGAUCCCCCACACUGGUACUGAGACACGGACCAGACUCCUACGGGAGGCAGCAGUGAGGAAUAUUGGACAAUGGGCGGGAGCCUGAUCCAGCCAUGCCGCGUGCAGGAAGACUGCCCUAUGGGUUGUAAACUGCUUUUUUACGGGAAGAAACACCCCCACGUGUGGGGGCUUGACGGUACCGUACGAAUAAGGACCGGCUAACUCCGUGCCAGCAGCCGCGGUAAUACGGAGGGUCCGAGCGUUAUCCGGAAUCAUUGGGUUUAAAGGGUCCGUAGGCGGGCGUCUAAGUCAGUGGUGAAAUCUCGCGGCUCAACCGUGAAAUUGCCAUUGAUACUGGUCGCCUUGAAUUAGUGUGAAGUGGCUAGAAUAUGUAGUGUAGCGGUGAAAUGCUUAGAUAUUACAUAGAAUACCGAUUGCGAAGGCAGGUCACUAACACUAUAUUGACGCUGAUGGACGAAAGCGUGGGGAGCGAACAGGAUUAGAUACCCUGGUAGUCCACGCCGUAAACGAUGGAUACUAGCUGUCCGGCCUGCAUUGGUAGGCUGGGUGGCCAAGCGAAAGUGAUAAGUAUCCCACCUGGGGAGUACGUUCGCAAGAAUGAAACUCAAAGGAAUUGACGGGGGCCCGCACAAGCGGUGGAGCAUGUGGUUUAAUUCGAUGAUACGCGAGGAACCUUACCAGGGCUUAAAUGUAGUCUGACAGGGGUGGAAACACCCCCUUCUUCGGACAGACUGCAAGGUGCUGCAUGGUUGUCGUCAGCUCGUGCCGUGAGGUGUCAGGUUAAGUCCUAUAACGAGCGCAACCCCUGUCGUUAGUUGCCAGCAUGUAAAGAUGGGAACUCUAACGAGACUGCCGGUGCAAACCGUGAGGAAGGUGGGGAUGACGUCAAAUCAUCACGGCCCUUACGUCCUGGGCCACACACGUGCUACAAUGGCAGGUACAAUGGGCAGCCACGCCGCAAGGCGGAGCGAAUCCACAAAACCUGUCUCAGUUCGGAUCGGGGUCUGCAACUCGACCCCGUGAAGCUGGAAUCGCUAGUAAUCGGAUAUCAGCCAUGAUCCGGUGAAUACGUUCCCGGGCCUUGUACA